GUUCAGAGAGGGGUCAAUGUCCUAUCAGCUAGUUGGGAGGGUAAUGGCCUACCAAGGCGAAGACGGGUAGCCGGCCUGAGAGGGUGGUCGGCCACAUUGGGACUGAGACACUGCCCAGACUCCUACGGGAGGCUGCAGUCGAGUAUCUUUCGCAAUGCCCGAAAGGGUGACGAAGCGACGCCGCGUGUGGGAAGAAGGCCUUCGGGUUGUAAACCACUGUCAGGAGUUAAGAAGUGCAAGGGUGCGAAUAGCGCCUUUGCUUGACUAAGGCUCCAGAGGAAGCCACGGCUAACUCUGUGCCAGCAGCCGCGGUAAUACAGAGGUGGCAAGCGUUGUUCGGAAUUAUUGGGCGUAAAGAGCACGUAGGCGGUUCUGCAAGUCGGCUGUGAAAGCCUUCCGCUCAACGGAAGAACAGCAGUUGAUACUACAGGACUAGAGUGCGGGAGGG
Molecule: ribosomal RNA, 448 nt
Filed under: uncultured Planctomycetota bacterium
Lineage: Bacteria; Pseudomonadati; Planctomycetota
Description: bacterial SSU rRNA
Rfam family: Bacterial small subunit ribosomal RNA
Source: RNAcentral